UUCUAGGACCCAAAGUAAUGAUUGAUAGAGAUAGUUGGGGGGUGCUUGUAUUGAACGGCCAGAGGCGAAAUUCUUGGAUUCGUUCAAGGCAAACUAAUGCGAAAGCAUUCACCAAGGAUGUCUUCCUUAAUCAAGAACGAAAGUUGGGGGAUCGAAGACGAUUAGAUACCGUCGUAGUCUCAACCAUAAACUAUGCCAACUGAGGAUUGGUGAGCAUCGAUUCGAUCUCAUCAGGACUCUACGAGAAAUCAAAGUGUUUGGGUUCUGGGGGGAGUCUGGUCGCAAGGCUGAAACUUAAAGGAAUUGACGGAAGGGCACACCAGGAGUGGAGCCUGCGGCUUAAUUUGACUCAACACUGGAAAACUUACCAGGUCCGGAGACGCGAAGGAUUGACAGAUUGCAGAUCUUUCUUGAUUGCGUCGGUGGUGGUGCAUGGUCGUUCUUAGUUGGUGGAGUGAUUUGUCUGGUUAAUUCCGUUAACGAACGAGACCUCAGCCUGCUAAAUAGUCAGAUGUACGCUUCGGUGUACAGUUGCUGACUUCUUAGAGGGACUGUCGGUUUCUAGCCGAAGGAAGCGUGAGGCAAUAACAGGUCUGUGAUGCCCUUAGAUGUUCUGGGCUGCACGCGCGCUACACUGUUGGAUUCAAUGAGUAUCACCCUUGAUCGAAAGGUCUGGGUAAUCUUUGUAUUUACCGAUGUGA
RNAcentral lists this ribosomal RNA (701 nucleotides) under uncultured eukaryote. Its description in RNAcentral is "SSU rRNA". It matches the Rfam family "Eukaryotic small subunit ribosomal RNA", at positions 848 to 1570 of the family's 1831-position model. The record is from RNAcentral.